AGAGUUUGAUCAUGGCUCAGAUUGAACGCUGGCGGCAGGCCUAACACAUGCAAGUCGAACGGUAGCAUUUCUAGCUUGCUAGAAGAUGACGAGUGGCGGACGGGUGAGUAAUGCUUGGGGACUUGCCUUUGCGAGGGGGAUAACAGUUGGAAACGACUGCUAAUACCGCAUAAUGUCUUCGGACCAAACGGGGCUUCGGCUCUGGCGCAAAGAGAGGCCCAAGUGAGAUUAGCUAGUUGGUAAGGUAACGGCUUACCAAGGCGACGAUCUCUAGCUGUUCUGAGAGGAAGAUCAGCCACACUGGGACUGAGACACGGCCCAGACUCCUACGGGAGGCAGCAGUGGGGAAUAUUGCACAAUGGGGGAAACCCUGAUGCAGCCAUGCCGCGUGUGUGAAGAAGGCCUUCGGGUUGUAAAGCACUUUCAGUUGUGAGGAAAAGUUAGUAGUUAAUACCUGCUAGCCGUGACGUUAACAACAGAAGAAGCACCGGCUAACUCCGUGCCAGCAGCCGCGGUAAUACGGAGGGUGCGAGCGUUAAUCGGAAUUACUGGGCGUAAAGCGCACGCAGGCGGUUUGUUAAGCUAGAUGUGAAAGCCCCGGGCUCAACCUGGGAUGGUCAUUUAGAACUGGCAGACUAGAGUCUUGGAGAGGGGAGUGGAAUUCCAGGUGUAGCGGUGAAAUGCGUAGAUAUCUGGAGGAACAUCAGUGGCGAAGGCGACUCCCUGGCCAAAGACUGACGCUCAUGUGCGAAAGUGUGGGUAGCGAACAGGAUUAGAUACCCUGGUAGUCCAC
Molecule: ribosomal RNA, 793 nt
Filed under: uncultured bacterium
Lineage: Bacteria
Description: bacterial SSU rRNA
Rfam family: Bacterial small subunit ribosomal RNA
Source: RNAcentral